This 73-nucleotide transfer RNA is filed under the name Elusimicrobia bacterium RIFCSPHIGHO2_01_FULL_64_10. Its description in RNAcentral is "tRNA-Lys". It matches the Rfam family "tRNA". From Rfam's summary of the family: Transfer RNA (tRNA) molecules are approximately 80 nucleotides in length. Their secondary structure includes four short double-helical elements and three loops (D, anti-codon, and T loops). Lineage: Bacteria; Pseudomonadati; Elusimicrobiota. RNAcentral also lists the same sequence under 1 other name. The record is from RNAcentral.
GAGCCCGUAGCUCAGCUGGUAGAGCACUCGCCUUUUAAGCGAGUGGUCGCGCGUUCGAACCGCGCCGGGCUCA